This 482-nucleotide ribosomal RNA is filed under the name uncultured bacterium. RNAcentral describes it as "bacterial SSU rRNA". It matches the Rfam family "Bacterial small subunit ribosomal RNA", at positions 30 to 506 of the family's 1533-position model. The record is from RNAcentral.
UUGAACGCUGGCGGCAUGCUUUACACAUGCAAGUCGAACGGCAGCGGGGGCUUCGGCCUGCCGGCGAGUGGCGAACGGGUGAGUAAUGCAUCGGAACGUACCCAGUCGUGGGGGAUAACUACGCGAAAGUUACGCUAAUACCGCAUAUGCCCUGAGGGGGAAAGGGGGGGAUCGCAAGACCUCUCGCUUUCGGAGUGGCCGAUAUCGGAUUAGCUAGUUGGUGAGGUAAAGGCUCACCAAGGCGACGAUCCGUAGCUGGUCUGAGAGGACGACCAGCCACACUGGGACUGAGACACGGCCCAGACUCCUACGGGAGGCAGCAGUGGGGAAUUUUGGACAAUGGGGGCAACCCUGAUCCAGCCAUGCCGCGUGAGUGAAGAAGGCCUUCGGGUUGUAAAGCUCUUUCAGACGGAAAGAAACGGUCACGGCGAAUACCCGUGACUAAUGACGGUACCGUAAGAAGAAGCACCGGCUAACUACGU